GAUGAAGAACGUAGCGAAAUGCGAUAAGUAAUGCGAAUUGCAGAAUUCAGUGAAUCAUCGAAUCUUUGAACGCACAUUGCGCCCGCUAGUAUUCUGGCGGGCAUGCCUGUCUGAGCGUCAUUUCAACCCUCGCCCCCGGCUUUUGCUGGGAGCGGUGUUGGGGAUCGGCCGCCCGUCACUGGGAGGCCGGCCCCGAAAUAGAGUGCCGACCACGCCGUGUGCUCCUCUGCGUAGUAGUAAAUCACCUCGCAGGCGGACAGCGGUGCGGCCUGCCGUAAAACCCCCAACUCUUUCUGGUUGACCUCAGAUCAGGUAGGAAUACCCGCUGAACUUAAGCAUAUCAAUAAGCGGAGGA
RNAcentral lists this unclassified non-coding RNA (355 nucleotides) under soil metagenome. RNAcentral describes it as "partial contains 5.8S ribosomal RNA, internal transcribed spacer 2, and large subunit ribosomal RNA". The stretch from base 1 to 120 matches the Rfam family "5.8S ribosomal RNA", at positions 35 to 154 of the family's 154-position model. The record is from RNAcentral.